Molecule: long non-coding RNA, 3385 nt
Organism: Carassius gibelio (silver crucian carp)
Lineage: Eukaryota; Metazoa; Chordata; Actinopteri; Cypriniformes; Cyprinidae
Exons: 8
Source: RefSeq, a predicted model, not a curated record
CAAUGAGCAUGGACAGGUGAUCAUCAAGGUUUUGGUCUCGGGCCAAUGACUGAAGGCCUUAUCAAACGAUACAGAGUGGCUGGGGUGGCUCCUCCCGAAGUGCUGUAUGUCGACUGAGACUACUGUGGCUACUCUCUUUUGUGGAGGAUGUUUGAAGAGUGGGAGCAAAUGACCAUCCGGUUAGAUGUAUAGCACUUCAUGCGGACGUUUGCUGUGGGUUGCACCACCGACAGUUAUAUGCCACAUUUAUGAGUCGCCUCAGCCGUUGUAUUUUCAUGUGGGACCCGGUCGACCUGACGGCCCUGAAGACAGUGAAGCAUGCAGAUCUAGAAGCAUAUGGGAAACCAUCAUCCGAGGCUGAUGUGCUACGCUGUAUCAGUCGUAGCGAGCUAGCGCUACAUUGCAGGAGAACCACUCACGGGACCAAAGAGACCCUGGCACUGAUUGAGAGCGAUGUUCAGCCCUUUGAUGGAGAUGCUGGUCGUGACACUCAGGGAGUCCCACUAAUAAACUCAGCCCGUAUGAGAGUCCCAGCGGAAACAUGUGGCCUGCAUCCAGGAUCCUGCCGUUGUGCAGCUCUACAUGCAGACGGGUACUGUAAUGAAGAGAGGGCACCGCCUGCCAACCACUCCACUUAAGUCAUUUCACCUGCACCUUAACAGAUUCAUCCCAGGUACGCUGGCAAGUGACAGCUUCUUUCAGUCAUAUCUUUUGGAUGGACUUGCAAUGUGGAAUGAGGACCGGGCAGUGGCAGCAACCAACAUUCCUACAAUCAUCUUCUGCGUCAUGCGGUCAACACUCUUGUAGAGGAGCUUAUUGGCAUGAAAAUCAUCCCUUAUGUUGGGCCAAGAAAGUACACUGGGGAGCUUAUUGGAGUGGAAUAUCUUUACAAGCAAACUGGUAAAGUUCUGCAGGACUACAAGUUGGCCAUUGAAGAGUCAGAGUAUACCACUGAGGUUGGUAUAGAGGUGGAUGAAGGUUAAGCUGAACUUGAGGAGUUUCAGGACAUAACCGUCCUCACCUUUGACACCUGCUGCCUCUUCACAAGCAUCAGUGUCUGCAGCAUCAUCUCCAACUCCUCCAGCAACCAGCCCCACGUCAUCACUGUUUGUGUUCCCUCCAUCAGUGUCAUCUCCUGUCAGAAGCUCACUGCACACUCAAUCAAAUCUAGAACUCUUUCCUGGAGCACAUAGCUUGGACCGAUUAUCUGCAGAAAUGGAUCGUCCAACAUCGGAAGAGAACACUUCAUAAUCUUUAGGGUUAUGGAGCCGUGCAAGACUUGGCAGAGUUUUUGGUUAGCCACAGAGAGCACCGUCUGGCUUUGUCAGGAGAAGAGUGCAUCAAGAUCAUCUCCUUAUGGCAGGUAUUGGGGGAGUAUGACAAGAAAAAAAACAUUUACCCACCACGUAACCAAACCAACCUAAAACAGGGAUGAUUCAGGGCCACUAAGAAGAUUGUGGCCCCAGGUGUGGAGAGAACCAAAAGGUGUUUCGUUGGGGCUCAUAGUCCUGCACAGUGGCCUGACUGACUGCAACCAAGUGGUGGAGGCCAUUUUCACAAGGCUCUGUGCUCUCUACCCAAGAGUGCAUCCUCACCAGUGCUAAGAUCAUGAGUGAGACCACCAUCCAGCUCCCUGAAGUGAAUGCUGUAACAGUCACACAAUGCACAUUUUGCUGAGGACAGCUUCCUCAAUCUCCAUCAGUUUAAUGCCGGAUUCACACAAAGAUUAUUCCUGAAAGAUGGAGCAGUUCCCUCUUUGUCUGGAGAAGGCGUUGUUUAUGGACCACAACCAGAGAGCAGCCUGCUCUAAGCUGGUGUCGAAUCACAACACAGGAACCGCUGGCACAAUCAGAACUCGUUACGUGUUUCUGAAGGAGGGACUUCAUAGAACAAGGAAGUCAUCAGUGGUAUACAGAUAGGUUCAGCAGGCGUGGCAAGUCACAGGAACAGGAGAUUUUGAAGCAGGGUAUCCAAGCCCCAGAUGCACCCAUGGCAGGACCCGAGACGCUUCCUGCGGCUAUGCAGAAAGGACCAACUCUCUAUCCAGGCAAUUUGGCUGAGCCUCACCUUUUUAUCCUGCCACCAAACACUGCUGGGAAGGCAAAACUUAAGAGGAGGUCGCAACCCCAGGCCAUCUCCCAGGCUCCAACAUCACAUCAAGGACUUCCUGUCAUUGCACCAGCACUAGCCGUCUCUCUCCCUUUCAUUUUACCAUCUGUGCAGCUUCCGCGCCAUCCUCUACAGUGCCAGGUACCUCACAGGUGAUGUUCUUCAACCUCCCAUUACCUUCAGCUAUGUCACCAUCCGCUCGGACACAGACAUUCGGUCAAGAUGUUCCUCACUCCACCCAGCAAUACAGAAAGAGAAAACUGGAGAGAGAGCGCACUGGAACUGUCACAAGAAAAGAUGUGAAGAAGACAGACGUCAUUCUUUGCAGAAAGUGUAACAAAGAGAGAAAGCCACAAUCACAUCUUUAGUACUUUGAUAACUGGUUCUGCAAAGAGUCUGAGACUCAAUCAUAUGGUGAAUGGAGGGCUGUGCUGCAGGAACGAGGUUAUAGGGAAAAAAAAGGGAAAUGGCAACCCUCAGCUUCUUAAAGCUGCCAUUUCAGCACAUGAUAUUUUUAUUUGGUUAAUGUUUGCUUUAUAGUGCAAUUUACAAGUCUCCCACAAUGACAGCUGUCUCUAAAAUGUGUAAUUACUGUGUGUUUCCUAUAUAUGUAUAUUCCCAACAGAUGGUAUGUUUAUGUUUUUUUUUAUUAUCAUUAUUUUGGCUAAUAUAUGAAAAGAGUGGUAAAUUUUUGUUUGGAUUUACUUUUUUUUUUUUUUUUUGGCGAAUAUGUCAAAAUUGCACUACUGUCGUAAAUGUUUAUUUUGGUUUACAAUUUAUUAUUAUUUUCUUAGUCUGAUGUCAAAAUUGCACUGCAAAUUGCACUGUUAAUCUACUCACCAUUGUGUGACUGUUGCACAUUCACUUCUGGGAGCUGGAUGGUGGUCUCACUCAUCACCUUAGCAUUGGUGAGGAUGCACUCUUGGAUGUGCUUGUGAGCACGUGCUACAACAGUGAAGCGGGACACCCUCACUCCAUCACAGCGCACCGCGUUUGGGUAGAGAGCACAGAGCCUUGUGAAAAUGGCCUCCACCACUCGGUUGCAGUCAGGCCACUGUGCAGGACUGUGAGCCCCAACGAAACACCUGCAAAUUUAUAUUUAUUAUAUUUUUUUACACUGAUAUGUAAAUUUUACUACUGUGGUAAACAUUUUUGGUUUUAUAUAUUUUAAAUUGAUGUGUCAAAAUUGCAUUACUGUUCUAAAUGUUUUAUUGGCUUUAAAAUAUAAAUGCAGAUUAAAAGGGUUGUGAAUAUUUGCCCUCACACUAUUGUUAUU